Long non-coding RNA from Bombyx mandarina (wild silkworm), 250 nucleotides. Lineage: Eukaryota; Metazoa; Arthropoda; Insecta; Lepidoptera; Bombycidae. The record is from RefSeq and is a predicted model, not a curated record.
UGAAGUUCUGAAAAACGAUUUUAAAAAUGAUUGAUUAACAAAAUUUACAUUCAUGUAACCAUGAUGGCAAUGAUUUUGAAACGAAUUUCUGGUGUAAUAUAUUUAUAUACAGCAUCUGAUGUAACUAUGGAUAAAUUUCCGAGGCUAUCAGUACCUGAGAAGUUAAAACCUACAAUUGAGUGGCAAAACAUGCAAGUAGCAGAUUUCUCAGAAACUCGAAUGUACAUAUCUCGUUUGCUGUCAAAAAGGA